AGAAAGUAUUUGCCGUCGCUGAAAGCUUUUAAUCGCCUUAAUAUUCGUCGAAAGUCUCUCGCUUAAACGUGUCGAACAAAUUGGCCAUUUCGCAAUUCAGGACACAAAUAAACUAGCCUGAAAUGUCAGAGAAUAGUUUGGUUGUAUAUUUCUGAAUGAUUAUCACUUUGUCUGAAUACAGACGAGCCAAAUGGAUUUUAAUGUGAGUAAUACAUAAUAUUGUGUCUUUAAUGUUUUAUGUUUAGACGUGAUUAAAGUUUAUAACUUCGAAUUUGAAAUAUACACCACCAAAAUUUAUUAAGCUUGAGUUUAUAAUUACAAGUCCAUAUAUAAAACGACACGAGUAUUCGAUCGUGUGAUGUUAAGUACUUUAUAAUCUACAAAGAUUGUAUUUUGAACACUUAGAUGCCAGUAGCUGCGUUCAAGUAUACAUCUUUGUGACUUCGACUUUGAAAUAUGUACUGAUUAAAUUUACAAAUUUGUAUUUGUAUUAAAUAUUAGGGAUUUGUUUUAGGAUCUUUCCAUAACGAUUGUGUUUAAAAUAUUUGAAUGGUUAUAGCUUUUGUACAAUACUUAUUAAAGUAAACACUCUAUUCUUUAGUGUGAAUUAUUUUGUAGUGUCUUAAAUUGUAAACAAUAGAUCUUACCGCGUUUUAUACACUUGUCACCCAAUGGCCUUCGUGUCAUGUACUCAUGUUUUGUAUUGAAAAUUAUUUUGUUAUUGAGCCUAAGAACAGCAAGAAACAAAGUCGUUCAGGAAAACAUGGGAAUAUAUAAAUCUUUAUCUGCCCCUGACAUGCUAAAUAAGGUAACAUGGAAACGAGGCCAUUGGGUGAAAGAGAAUAAUCGGUAAUGCCUAUUUUUAGUAUUUUGUUUACAAUUUUAUUUGAGCUAUUAGUUUGUUGUUUAAGGCUGGGUUACACUAUCAAAGUUUCUGUGAUCACAGUAGGAAUUUUGCUUGGCUAAAUUUUUGAAGGAUUUGUAAGAAAUGUUUGAGGGAAUUAACUGAUGGGUAUUACAGUUGAUUUCACGAAACUUUGGCCGCUCCAGUUGCGAAAUUGGUUGGAAAUUUGGGAAGUCAAGUUGAUUGGAAACCGGCGAAUCAAAUUCGGAAGUUUCACGUCAAAUUAUGGAAACUCGUGAGGAAAUUCCGAACCAAUUUCGCAAGCAAGUUCGCAAAUUGCAAACGAUUUUGGCGGUAAAUUUUAAAAACUAAACGUAUUUUACUAAACCCAUUAUAAUUUUAAAAACUGAAAUUAUUAUUAUUAUUAUGAUAUUAUGAAUAAAUGAAUAAGUUUAAUACAAUGUCAAUAAGUUUAGUUUUAGAAAUUUACCGCAAAAAUCGUUUGCAAUUUGCGAACUUGCUUGUGAACUUGGUUGGGAAUUUCAUCACGAGUUUGGAUAAUUUGAUGCGAAACUUGAUGAUCUCGUGUUUAUAUAGUUCCCAAAUUCCCAACCAAUCUCGCAACUGGAGCCACCAAAGUUUUGUAAAAUCAACUGUAAGGGAAGCCUCACAUCGAUUUUUUCCACGAGAAACGUCAUAUGUUCGUUUGGGAGAGGGGGUGCAGCUGUGACGUUUCUCUGUUAACAUGGAAAAAUUCGAUAGUUUUUUCGGAAUCAGAAUAUAAAAAGAAAACAACUGGAUACAAACAACAGUCUAUACAUUUGUUAUUAUACCUGUUCUAUACGUAUACAUUUAUAUCUAUUAUAAUUUCAAGAAAAACGCGCUAAAAUUAUCAAUAUUUCAUGCAAAAAAAGUUGUUUUGAGAAACGUUGGAAAUUUUGAAGUUCGUAUAUAUUAAAUAAGAAAGAUUUGUCAGCAGAAGAUGACAUAUUCCUCGCAGAAGCUUCGCCAAUAGCCGACCGUGGAAAAUAGUAGAAAAUUACUUUAUGUGUACUAUAAGAACGACAUAUCGAUAACUACAGUAUGUGUGACGUUUCUAGGGGGGGUCUCCAGAAACGAACAUAUGACGUUUCUCAUGGACAAAAUCGAUAUGCGAACUUCCCCAAGUCAGUUUACACAAAAUCCAGUGUAGGUUUUAGAUCAGCGAUUUACUCUUCAUCAUUCCUCUGUCAGACUGAAGAAGACAACAGUAUCAAUGAAGAGGCAGUGAUAGAAAGUCUGUUUACUGGCUGUGACACUGAAGGCAAUGGUUUGUUGAGAGUGUCCAAGCUUAUUGAAUAUCUUAGCACUGUGGCAGGAGACAAUAUCGAA
Non-coding RNA from Paramuricea clavata, 2215 nucleotides. The record is from the annotation of a GenBank genome assembly. NCBI's taxonomy places the organism in Eukaryota, Metazoa, Cnidaria, Anthozoa, Malacalcyonacea, Plexauridae.